This 651-nucleotide ribosomal RNA is filed under the name Bacillus anthracis (anthrax bacterium). Its description in RNAcentral is "bacterial SSU rRNA". It matches the Rfam family "Bacterial small subunit ribosomal RNA", at positions 76 to 709 of the family's 1533-position model. Lineage: Bacteria; Bacillati; Bacillota; Bacilli; Caryophanales; Bacillaceae. The record is from RNAcentral.
GAGCUUGCUCUUAUGACGUUAGCGGCGGACGGGUGAGUAACACGUGGGCAACCUGCCCUAAAGAUUGGGAUAACUCCGGGAAACCGGGGCUAAUACCGAAUAACCUUUUGAACCUCAUGGUUCAAAAUUGAAAGGCGGCUUCGGCUGUCACUUAUGGAUGGACCCGCGUCGCAUUAGCUAGUUGGUGAGGUAACGGCUCACCAAGGCAACGAUGCGUAGCCGACCUGAGAGGGUGAUCGGCCACACUGGGACUGAGACACGGCCCAGACUCCUACGGGAGGCAGCAGUAGGGAAUCUUCCGCAAUGGACGAAAGUCUGACGGAGCAACGCCGCGUGAGUGAUGAAGGCUUUCGGGUCGUAAAACUCUGUUGUUAGGGAAGAACAAGUGCUAGUUGAAUAGGCUGGAACCUUGACGGUACCUAACCAAAAAGCCACGGCUAACUACUUGCCACCACCCCCGGUAAUACUUAGGUGGCAACCGUUAUCCGAAAUUAUUGGGCGUAAAGCUGGCGCAGGGGGUUUCUAAAUCCUAAGGUGAAACCCCUCGGCUCAACAUUGAAGGGUCAUUGGAAACUGGGAGACUUGUUUGCACAUAAGGGGAGUGAACUUCCAAAUGUAUAGCAGAACUGCGUUUAAGAUAUGGAACAACAC